UCCGAUGUAGUGUAGUGGCUAUCACGGUUCGCUUUCAUUUCAGACCUUUCUGGAACAGAGCGCCGAGCAAACCGGGGUUCGAUUCCCCGCAUUGGAG
Candida albicans SC5314 is the source of this 97-nucleotide transfer RNA. It matches the Rfam family "tRNA". From Rfam's summary of the family: Transfer RNA (tRNA) molecules are approximately 80 nucleotides in length. Their secondary structure includes four short double-helical elements and three loops (D, anti-codon, and T loops). NCBI's taxonomy places the organism in Eukaryota, Fungi, Ascomycota, Pichiomycetes, Serinales, Debaryomycetaceae. The record is from Rfam.